This 537-nucleotide ribosomal RNA is filed under the name Bifidobacterium breve. RNAcentral describes it as "bacterial SSU rRNA". It matches the Rfam family "Bacterial small subunit ribosomal RNA", at positions 162 to 708 of the family's 1533-position model. Lineage: Bacteria; Bacillati; Actinomycetota; Actinomycetes; Bifidobacteriales; Bifidobacteriaceae. The record is from RNAcentral.
GGUAAUGCCGGAUGCUCCAUCACACCGCAUGGUGUGUUGGGAAAGCCUUUGCGGCAUGGGAUGGGGUCGCGUCCUAUCAGCUUGAUGGCGGGGUAACGGCCCACCAUGGCUUCGACGGGUAGCCGGCCUGAGAGGGCGACCGGCCACAUUGGGACUGAGAUACGGCCCAGACUCCUACGGGAGGCAGCAGUGGGGAAUAUUGCACAAUGGGCGCAAGCCUGAUGCAGCGACGCCGCGUGAGGGAUGGAGGCCUUCGGGUUGUAAACCUCUUUUGUUAGGGAGCAAGGCACUUUGUGUUGAGUGUACCUUUCGAAUAAGCACCGGCUAACUACGUGCCAGCAGCCGCGGUAAUACGUAGGGUGCAAGCGUUAUCCGGAAUUAUUGGGCGUAAAGGGCUCGUAGGCGGUUCGUCGCGUCCGGUGUGAAAGUCCAUCGCUUAACGGUGGAUCCGCGCCGGGUACGGGCGGGCUUGAGUGCGGUAGGGGAGACUGGAAUUCCCGGUGUAACGGUGGAAUGUGUAGAUAUCGGAAAAGAACA